RNAcentral lists this long non-coding RNA (2124 nucleotides) under Apteryx haastii (Great spotted kiwi). RNAcentral's name for it is "lncRNA (ENSAHAG00000005248.1)". Lineage: Eukaryota; Metazoa; Chordata; Aves; Apterygiformes; Apterygidae. The record is from RNAcentral.
AAGAACAGAGAGUUACAUAGAUCAUGUUGGUGAUGGAAGUGGAGCAACUUAUUGCAUUCCCUUCUCUCUUUUAGACUAAGACUUUUAAAUAUUACAUGAAAUAAAUAUUCAUGGAGAGUUUUGUACUUGGCCCUUCUAGCUAUUAAUUUAUUUCUAUUCCUUUUUGUCUCUAUUCUGUUUAAGCCACAUUUUUUCCAUACAUUGUAAUCAGAGCAGAAGGAUGUUUUAGCUAAUAAAGAUUUUAAGCCUUGAGCAUAAUUUUUAAGUGUUUUUUGUUCUUAAAAGGUUUCUUUUAGCAACUCUCUCAGAAAGCAGGGACUGUAUUAAUGAAAAAUAAAACUGGCUAAGAGCAUUAAUAUUUAGUACUGUUCCAAAUGCGGCUGUGUGAGCACUUGACUUGGCAAAACUCCUUUGCAGUUUUGAAAACGUAACACUGGGGUAUAAAGACGCUGCUGAAAGUAACCGCCGCGGCCGCCAUCUUCCCUACGAGCUCUGCGGCGGGGCGCGUGCGCCGCCACGUGGGGCCGCGCCUGCCCGCCGAUUGGUGGCGGGGCGCAGCCAAUGGGGGCGGGCGUUGCGGGGGGCGAUGCGGGCGGCGGUGUGGACGGCGCGCUCGGCGCUGCUGUACUCGGUGGGCGGUUGGACGAUGCUGGGGGCCCUGCUCCACCACACCCAGAGCAGUAGCAGGAAUAGCAGCAGCAGCGACGGCGGCGACGGGCCCGAGAAAGAAAGUGAUCCUGAGGCAAGCCAAAGAGCCCGCAGAGAAGUCUUUACUACCAAUACACCUAUAGGCCUACAAAUCACAACGUUAACAUUCUCUGGAAACUUGGAAUUUUGUGCUGAUGCAGCGGAGAGCUGACUUAUCCAAGAGAUUCUGCUUGAUGCGUGAUAUCAGAAUGCUAGUGGAAAACUUUCUCUUGCAUCGUUGAAACAACAGGUCCAUAUUUGAAAUAACUUUGCAAAGCUUUGUGGACCUUCUCAUCUGCUCAAAUCAAUGAUUUUCUUUGUGCAUGUAUUCAAAUUAUUAAACAUGAACUGUCUUCAACUAAAUGUGCUGCAAAAUGUUAAUGAAACUGCAUGUUACCUGGUGUCCAGUGUUUGACAAGGUGGCUGUUGCUGCAUUUUUGUGAAAUGGAUUUGUUGGUGUGCAGGACUUACAUGGGUGAUCUGGGAUUUGUUCCUCUGCUGAUUUAGUUCCUCAACUGAUUGUUUAGGAACAACUGGUAAACUGGAAGGAAUGUAGUUUGAUCUUUGGGGUGUUAGAGUUGUAUUGUCCUUCAGAUCUUUGCAAGGUGAAUGACUUUGGUGAAAUAUGAAUUACAAAGGUAGAAGUGCUACUGCUGGAAGCACUUGCAUUGAAAAUUCAGUAACACUAUUAAUUUCUCUAACAUUUUAAGAGCACAGCUAACAUACCUGAAAAUGUAUUAAGUUGCCGGGGAAAGAUGUUCUUUCAGUUGCAAGCCUGGAGAAUAUUCUGAAAGGAAUCAAAGAAGCUUUGCACUUUUUUUUCUUGGGUUUGUAACACAUAGUUCUAACUCAGUCCUCCUGUAUCAAUGAUGACAGUAGUAAUGAAGAUCCAGGACAACAGAUUUCUAUUGCAAAUAGAACGGGUUUAGUUGUAAGUAUGCAUUAACUUGGAAAAAAAGUUACAGUGCUUUUUCUCCUGUCUUUACAAUCACCUUGAGCAUGUACAGGUGAGCGGAUAAAGUACAAAUCACUGAGAAGUGACAGGAAGACGACUAGUUUAAGAAUUCUGUGGCUGAAAUAACCUUUCAGAUGAUAAUUUAUCAUGAGGCCAAAGUUUUCCAUUUUGGUUCCCAAUCUAUUUUAUAAGGCAGAUCUUAUAACCACCACUGCUUCCUUUUCCUUAGCUGCUCCAUCUUCCAGUUGUUGCCACUGUGUGCCGGUGGCAGCUUUUGACAAGGAACCCAAGCUAGUUAGUUGGGCAGAGCUUAACAGCUUUUGCUGUACCUCACUCCUAGCUUUUUGAUACCAAGUCUCACUAGCCAGUUACGUCUCAUUGAUUCUCUGUUUAAUAGUCUGUGGUAGUGGUUUAGUGGUGUACAUGAUGCAGGGCUAUUAUGGUACUAGCACUUUAUGAAAAUAAAGAAGGAAAACAUAUCA